Molecule: long non-coding RNA, 3677 nt
Filed under: Sus scrofa (pig)
Lineage: Eukaryota; Metazoa; Chordata; Mammalia; Artiodactyla; Suidae
Description: lncRNA (ENSSSCG00000056378.1)
Source: RNAcentral
AAUGAGAUAAUGUCUGUAAAUUUCUCAGCACAGUUCUUAGCAAAAAUGAGGUCUCAAUGAAUGCUAAUUCUUAUUUUCCCAGCUGGGUGUAUGUGCAUGUACACACACACACCCACACACACAUGUAUCACAAUCCUACCAUCAAACCGUAAGUUAAUAAAGUUAUAGGAAUUUUCCAGUUAACUGAAGAUCAAUCUCAGAUUUACUUAAAAAAUUAUAUGAAUUAUUCUAGAUUACAAUAGCCCACUUCUCUGCUUAAGGAUGCCAAGCCUGACUGACAAAUAAUUUCUUCUUUGAACAUUUAGGACUAUUUUAGUGAGUCAUGGUUUCUAUCUUUGACAUAGUCAUAGUACCAGGAGGUUCAAAUAUAAAAAUUCAGGCUGUGUUCAAAGGUGAGUGGUUUAUUUUAUUAAUCCAAGUUGUUAAUUUAUUUUUAACAAUAUGUCUCUUAUCUUUCACAAAGGAAAGCCAAAAGAAAUUUAGUAAAAGUCCUGGCCAGUUUAGAUGAAAUAAUGCUUUAUUGUAGUUCUGAGUAUUUUUCACCAUGAGACUGUGCUCUUGUAUAUGUGUUCAUUUGAAUCAUGUUCAAACUUAAGAAAAAUUAUGCAAAUUAUGCUUUGAUCAAUGGAGUCAUCUUUAUGGAUUCACAGGUAUCUAUCUAUCUAUCUACCUAUUGCUUUUUAGGGCCAUGCCCAUGGCAUAUGGAGAUUUCCAGGCUAGGCGUCCAUUUGGAGCUAACAUCUACACCACAGCCACAGUGGCACAGGAACCAAGCUGUGUCUUCAACCGACACCACAGCUCAGAGCAACGCCAGAUCUUAACUCACUGAACAAGGCCAGGGGUUGAACCCAUAUCCUCAUGGAUCCUAGUCAUGUUCGUUAACCACUGAGCCACAACGGGAACUCUGUGGUAUCAAUAUUUUAAAUUUCCCCUUCAAGGCGAUUGGAAACAUCCUUUGAGAACAAAGUGUCCCAUUACCUGAAUGGCUAUGUUGAGACACUCAGGAAAUGAGUGGGAGGGUGGGCAGGAUAAGCCGUAAGAGAGAGAAAGCAGCCUGUGCAGGAACCUGAGGUAUGACAUGCAUGGCAGAUCCAAGAAAUGAGUGAAGAAUAUUCUAGAAGAUUCAAAAAGUAGAAUGGAGCAUAUUCGGCAGGGAGGCUGGAGAGAUAUAGAGGCUCAGGUCUGUAUCUUUGUUGAGACUUGAUUCCUCAAGUUGAUCCUGAAUAGUGUAAGUAUCAAGAAGCCUUUUUGAUUAUAAUGCAAAUGCCUGACAUUAAGCCUUUGAUUACCAAGGCAUCUAUUUCAAAGACACCCACCAUAAUAAACAUAUCGCCAGCCCUAUGACAUAGCUACUAGGUAAACAACUGUUUAAGGAACCAGGCUGCGUACUCAUGGAGUCCCAUUCUAAAAAGCCCUGGGUUUCCUAGAUAACUGAUUGCUUGAGUACCGCAUUUUGUCUUCCUGCACUUUAAUUUCUGCUCUUAUGUAUUAUUGUAUUUUUUAAUUUUAAUUGUAAUUUUAUUUUAUUUUAUUUUUUGUGUCUUUUAAGGGCUGCACUCUCAGCAAAAGGAAGUUCCCAGGUUAGGGGUCCAGUCGGAGCUGCAGCUGCCAGCCUAUACCACAGCCACAGCAACAUAGCAUCCAAGCCAUGUCUGCAACCUACACCACAGCUCAUGGCAAUGCUGGAUCCUUAACCCACUGAGCAAGUCAAGGGACCGAACCCAUGUCCUCAUGAAUACCAGUUGGGUUCGUUACCAUUGAGCCACGAUGGGAUCUCCUUGCUCUUAUGUUUUAAAUUCUCCAAUAAAGAAUGAACCCAUAAACACUAGGCAUGCCACCCUCAGCCCCAAUAAAAUCAGAGCCCAUGGUACCGACUCUCUCUCCACCCAUAACCUUGCCAUGUAGCCCUCAUGCCUGCUGUAUACCCUCAGUAAGUUAUAAACAUUUUUUUCUUCAAAAUUCCCUUAUGGUUGUUGCUGAGGCAUAUCUUGCAAUUGUGACAAGACCCACAGGGGCCAGUCCAGCCACAGCAUUGGCUCUGGUUGGGGGAAGAUCUGUGGGGGUCUCAUCACAAGUAGUACACACCUAGCCUCAGGUAUUCCUAGCCAAUAGCAUCACCAUCAAUAGGCCAAGACCUACAUGAAACGUGUAUAAUAAACAUCCACUCAUUCUCAACCUGUUUUGACUUCAUGGUAAGGGUCAGCUAUUUCCACAAUAAUUCUGUGUAAUGAAACAUCCUAAUACUUGGUUUUAACACAAUUAUUUAUUCUCUCUUACACAUCUGGAAACUGGCUGGGAACUGGCUGAUCUAGGCUGGGCUUGGCUUUAAGCAGCAGGUUGGGGCCAGAUUUACAUCCAUAAGUCUCUCAUCUCACUGGACCAGUGGGCUACCUGGGGUAGCUUCCCUCAUGACCCAGGCAUGAAUGCAGUGGGUAAGCAUAAGUACACAAGCACGUUUGAGCCUCUGCAUGAAGCGUGUUGCCAGUGUCUCACUGGACCAAAGUCACAAGGCUGGGGAGUGCACUCUGUUCAUAGUAGGAGGAAAUACAGGUUUUAGGAGCUAAAUGGUUGGGAGAAGUUUGGGCUAAAAAGUUAACCUGCCAGAUCCAAGAUGUUUUCAUAAUCACCUUAUGCUGCCCUGGUCAUCCAGUAUCACCUGUGCUGUUUUCCUGCUAUGGGGUUCACAAGAUCUUUGUUCACCCUGAUAUGUCAUCUGGCCCUUAUUCCCUUAUGUUCCUUGAGUUAUUCCCCAAAAGAAAGAAUAAGCACAGUUAUUCCUAUACAUUUACUAAGGGAAGACUUCUGGAGAAUUGUUUUUGUUUUUCUUAAGUUUUCAUCUGGAUGUUUGACACUGUGUCAAAAGUUUUACUCUGAGGAGUUUAUUUAGUGUGUUACUUCCUCUCCACAUUAUAGUAAUAUACUGGAGUUUCACAAAGAUGCCACCCCUGGGGAUGCUUGUCGGGAACCAUGUCACAGGGAAGGUGGAUAAAAUAAGUUGCCUUCUGAUGCUCAUUCAUAGAAUAAAUUCCAUCAUAAACCUAAACGAGUUGGCCCACUUUAGAAAUAAACUCAUGCCUUGUUUUGUCACAUUACACUGAAAUUCUAAUAUGCAGGAGAUCCUUGGUGUCCUUGGGUUUAACAACCACAUUUUCUACUGUUUGGAGUGACCCUUCGGUCAUGGCAUGCAAUCCUAUUUCAUUUUUGUUGACAUAUCUGUUUGAAUGCCAUGUGUCCCCACCUGGGUACCACAGUUUUGUUCUCUAAUUGUUGUUGCAUGUGCCUUUCUUAAGCAAAAGUCACUUUAAUAGAAGUGUUUGCAAAUUUGGAAGUUUUCCAAGUAUCUUGAGCUAUAACCUGUGUGAAUGUUGAGAGUCUUUCUGUUUCCUCUUUGAGAAGGAGAGUAGCCAAUGAAAUCACGGUACAAUACAUUAAAUAAAAUGAAGCAAAAAUACCUCAGAGCACCUAUAGCAUGUAUUUAGUGAAAAAAAAAAUAUAUAAGGAUAGAUAGAUAGAUAUAAUGUAUAUAUUAAGUAUUUUACACACUUUUUGUUCCUUCACUGAUUUUUCUGCAUCAGUGAAGCACACACAGAGUGAACAUAUGAAAGUAAAAUAAUAAGGAGCAUAAAGGUUAGAAAGGGUGAUGCUACAUUUUCAUUAUCUGCUAAUUAUAUUAAUGC